RNAcentral lists this ribosomal RNA (500 nucleotides) under uncultured crenarchaeote. RNAcentral's name for it is "bacterial SSU rRNA". It matches the Rfam family "Archaeal small subunit ribosomal RNA", at positions 1 to 480 of the family's 1478-position model. Lineage: Archaea; Thermoproteati; Thermoproteota. The record is from RNAcentral.
UUCCGGUUGAUCCCGCCGGACCUCACUGCUAUCGGGGUGAGACUAAGCCAUGCAAGUCCAAGGCCCAUAGCCACCUGUAGGCCUGGCGUACGGCUCAGUAACACGUGGCCAACCUACCCUGAGGAGGCGGAUAACACCGGGAAACUGGUGCAUAAACCGCCAUAGGUGAGAUGCUCUGGAACGACGUCUCGCUGAAAAAUUUACACAGGGAUGCCUGUGUAGAUGCCUCAGGAUGGGGCUGCGGCCCAUCAGGCAGUUGGUGGGGCAACGGCCCACCAAGCCUAUAACGGGUACGGGCCCUGAGAGGGGGAGCCCGGAGAUGGACUAUGAGACAAGAGUCCAGGCCAUACGGGGCGCAGCAGGCGCGAAAACUCCGCAAUGCGCUAACGCGUGACGGGGUCACCCCGAGUGCCACCCUCGUGAUGGCUUUUGCGCAGUGUAAACAGCUGCGCGAAUAAGCGGGGGGCAAGACGGGUGUCAGCCGCCGCGGUAAUACCAGC